GGUUAGUUGGAUUGCUUUUCUCUUUAUAAAAUUACACGGGAUAAAUACUUUUUGUUGAUAAUUUUACUCAAAAUAUGAUUGGUGGUGAACACAUUUAGAAAUUACUAACUGCGAGUUUUUUUGUCAGGUUUACAGUGUUAAGUUCGUGAGGUGUACAGAUGCAACGUGACGUAAGCCUGAGUGAAAGUUUCUAAUGCGUCCUCUUUUUUCUUGAAAUAAGAUCCUCUCUCCUUCAUUCCCGCCGAGGCCUGGUUUUACUGCGAGUCUGAAGCAGACACAUUUGGGCGGUUUUCUACUCAUUUGAUGAAUUCUCUCCUCUGAAGCCAACUUCCUGGCUUUUCCCAAGACCUUCAAGGACACAAUUGACCUUGGGAUCAGCUGUAAAAGAGGAUGAAACCGAUGUUUAAGAAUGGGACAGCGAUAUUGCAUCAAUUUGUCUCCUACUUCAUUUGAUUCCACCAUCGCCACAAGGCUGCAAGGGACCUGGAGAAAUGUCCUCCUAUCAAGCUGAAAAACAUCUUCAAAAAGGCACUAAUAAGAAGAAUACCUUGUAGAGACCACACAGCCAUACCUGCUCGCUGAUGGGACAACGAGCAUUCAUGGAUGCUACACAACUGUCGACAAGUAUCUUGCUGCAGUCUUGUUCAAAUCUACCUGUCAUACUUGUAAAUUUGAUUUUAUGUGUUUUAUUAACUAUUUUAUGUUUCCGUGCAACACUUAAUGAAUGUGACUGACUAAUUAACCUCUACACAUCUGGUAUAUGCUUUAAAGUUGCCACUUUGCCCAUUUG
Onychostoma macrolepis is the source of this 790-nucleotide long non-coding RNA. RefSeq lists it as uncharacterized. The transcript is spliced from 5 exons. The record is from RefSeq and is a predicted model, not a curated record. NCBI's taxonomy places the organism in Eukaryota, Metazoa, Chordata, Actinopteri, Cypriniformes, Cyprinidae.